ACGCUGGAUGGGCCGUGCACCGAGGGUUCUUGCCGCGGUACCUGUACGAUGCCGCGGAACCUGUGACACGAAGGAGCGGUUGCCGAGUACGCCUAAAGGGAAAGUCACGAUUUUGGUGAGCCAGAGGCAUCUCUACACCCCAUACGAACCUCCGGCACUUCUGCAACCUGACAACACGGCAAAGCGUCUGAUCUGCAUGCUACGACAAGAAUAUACAUGCAGCAAGUUCAAGUGCGCAGACCUCAAAUUGAAGAGGGCAUAGUCUCCAUGCUGCAGAAAAUGGGGUCCAAGAGCUACUCCUCUUCCAUGGAAUCAAGUGGCGAGUAGAUAUUCUGACUCACUACUUCAUCGUUCGUUGUGCUGGGGCAGGCACUGUGACACACAAAGGUAGUGGAAAGAAAAACACAUGACAAGUGAAGCGCGAACUGUCAACUGAGUUUGGUGAACAAGGAAGAACCUAUACCCGAAGCCACUAUCAUCAGCUGGCUGCAGGUUAUAUGUGCUAAAAUGGCGGAGAUAAGAUAAUCAGAAUGAAUCAAAACUGACAAGGCGACCCACUUGAAUCAUAUCGAGCCGAUAAUACGUUGGAAACUGAGUGACGAUGAGGUAGAGCCACAGACGGCUCGCUCACACAGACUUCAGCACCAGC
Long non-coding RNA from Dermacentor silvarum, 649 nucleotides. RefSeq lists it as uncharacterized. The record is from RefSeq and is a predicted model, not a curated record. NCBI's taxonomy places the organism in Eukaryota, Metazoa, Arthropoda, Arachnida, Ixodida, Ixodidae. The transcript is spliced from 3 exons.